Molecule: ribosomal RNA, 477 nt
Filed under: uncultured bacterium
Lineage: Bacteria
Description: partial 16S ribosomal RNA
Rfam family: Bacterial small subunit ribosomal RNA
Source: RNAcentral
GAUGAACGCUGGCGGCGUGCCUAAUACAUGCAAGUCGAGCGAACAGACGAGGAGCUUGCUCCUCUGACGUUAGCGGCGGACGGGUGAGUAACACGUGGAUAACCUACCUAUAAGACUGGGAUAACUUCGGGAAACCGGAGCUAAUACCGGAUAAUAUAUUGAACCGCAUGGUUCAAUAGUGAAAGACGGUUUUGCUGUCACUUAUAGAUGGAUCCGCGCCGCAUUAUCUAGUUGGUGAGGUAGUGGCUUACCAAGGCAACGAUGCGUAGCCGACCUGAGAGGGUGACCGGCCACAUUGGGACUGAGGUAGGGACCAGACGCCUACGGGAGGCAGCAGUGGGGAAUAGUGCACAAUGGGCGGAAGCCAGAUGCAGCAGCGCCGCGUGCGGGAUGACGGCCGUCGGGUUGUAAACAGCUUUCGCCUGUGACGAAGCGUGAGUGACGGUAAUGGGUAAGGAAGCACCGGCUAACUACGUG